Chiloscyllium plagiosum (whitespotted bambooshark) is the source of this 3267-nucleotide non-coding RNA. The record is from RefSeq and is a predicted model, not a curated record. Lineage: Eukaryota; Metazoa; Chordata; Chondrichthyes; Orectolobiformes; Hemiscylliidae.
AUCAGCCAUGAUUGAUGGGCUGAAUGGCCUAAUUUCUGCUCCUAUGUCUUAUUGUCUUAAAACUGUUUGCAGUACUCCAACUGUAGUCUGAAUAGUGCCUUAUACAGUUUUUUGCAAACCUCCCUACUGAAUACUCCAUUCCCUUGGAAACAAAAUUCAACAUUCCAUUUAUCUUCCCUUUUACUCACUGAACUUGGAUGCUAUCUUUGUGAUUCAGGGACAAAGACUCCCAAAUCCUUCUGAUAUAUAGUUUUCUGCAGGUUUUUUUCUCCUUCUGUAAAUAAUAUUUAGCACUGUAUUCUUCCUGUCAAGAUGCAUAAUCUCACAACUUCCCACAUUAUGUUUCAAGUUUUAUGCCCAGUUGGUUAACCUCUCUAAAUUCCUCUGCCGACUCUUUGCAUCAUCUUCACCACUUGCUUUUCCACCCAUUUUUUAUGUAAUCUGCAAACUUAGUAAUAGUACAUUCACUUUCUUCAUCUGAGUUGUUAAUGUAUAUUGUAAAUAAUUGUGUUCCCAGCACAGAUCCUUGUGGUGCACAAGUAAUUGCAGGUUGCUAUCCUGAAAAUCAACUCUACAACCUCCCCCCUCCAAACAUAUCUGUCCUCUAUAAGUUAGCUAAGAUACAAUAUCUUAUUCAGUACCUUCUGAGAAUUCUGGUAAAUGUAGUCAGACAUGAUUUCCUUUUCAGUCUGACUCAGCUUGAUCAUAUUAUGUAUUUCUAAAUACUUUGCUAUUACAUCCUUUAUUAUAGACUCUAAUGUUUCCCAAUAACAGAUGUUAAGCUAACAAACUAAUUUGGGUGUUGUUUUCCAAAUAGGUGCUCUGUAAUCCUUUGUCUUCAUGAGCUUCCAUUUCCCCCAUUCCAAACCUCCCCCUAUCCAUGAAUUAAUUUAAAGCUCCCUAUACAGCCCUAGUCAUUUGAUUCACCAAAAACUAAUCCGAUCACGGUACAAGUGAAGCUCAUCCCACCUGCACAGCUCCAUUCUCCCCCUAUUAUGGUGCUACUGCCCUACACACUGAAAGACAUUCUUCCCAUGCUAAACUUCGAACCAAGCAUUUAACUGCUUGACUUUAUUUUCUCAAUAUCAGUUUCCUGCAGCACAGGUAAUAAUCCAGAGGUUAUUACCUGGGAGGUUCUGCUUUUUAAAUUAGCUUUUAACUGUUCAAAAUCUUUCAGCAAAACCUCCUUCCUAGUCCUAUCAAUGUCAGUGGACCCAACAUGGAUGAAUACUACUGAGUCUGCCCUCUCCAUCUCAAAUUCUCCUCCAACUACACAACUACAUUCCUAUUUUCUCCCCCACUUAACUGGCUCCCUGUGUCAAGUUUCUGUGGUCAUUUUGCUCAUCCUACCUACAGUCCCCAAUCUUGUUUGCACAGCUUACAAGAACCUCAUAGCUCUUGGACAAUUGAAGGGGCUCAGUUUUAACCCUCAUACCUGCCUUACAUCCAGUCACACCCUUCUGUCUCUAGUCACAGGCAUAGUUUGAGGGAUGUGACUGCUAUCUCAUGCAAACUGUCCAGGUAACUUUCCCCUUCCCUGAUGUGGCAUUGUGUCUGCAGCUCUUCAACUUGGAUCCAAAGUUCCUCGAGCUGCAUCCACUUCAUAUAGGUGUGUUCACUCUUGAUCACAUUGGUGUCCAACAGUUUCCACAUGUUCUGUCAUCGCUAUCAUAUUUGAUACAACUUGUAAAUUAAUUAUUUGAGAUUCCCUGUUCUCUAUAAUGAUGUUCAUCUUAAAUAUUAUCAUAUUACUGUAUUUUUUUUAUUUUCCUUAAAUCUCAAACCAGCAUACAAGAGACCAAGUAAGUGAGUGACAAGAUUAUCCCCUUCAUGUAAAUAGUGUUCUACAUUUGAUAAAGGAUUCACUUUGUACUUUUGGUAGAGCUGAAGGUUUCCAGUCUCUGACAUUAUGUAAAUGAAACAUAUGAGAUAUGAUUUAUCCACAUCACUGGUUUAGAUGUUCAACUCCAGUUUUUAACUAAUCCUCUUAACUCUUGAUCUGACACAGGCUCUAAAGGUUUUGCGAACUGCUGAGUUUGCCCCAUUUGUCGUUUUCAUUGCUGCACCAACCAUUACUCCAGGCAUGACUGAGGAUGAAUCUCUCCAGCGUUUGCAGAAGGAAUCAGAAAUUUUACAGAAAACAUAUGCACACUACUUCGAUCUAACCAUAAUCAACAAUGAAAUAGAUGAGACCAUCAGGCAUCUGGAAGAAGCCAUUGAACUUGUGUGUACCACACCACAGUGGGUCCCUGUAUCCUGGGUAUAUUAAGGACCAGACAGAAAAAUCAUGAACUUUAUCAUUCCCUAGCACCAUCCUGACAUUAGACUUUGUAAAUGACCUCGCAUCAAGUCUUACCCCUUAUAGACAGUCUAGGAUUAGUGUGCCCUAAUUUUUUUUUGACUAUUGUCAUGUCCUACUAGAUGGAUGGAGAGAUAAACAUUACCAAACUCUUACAGUGACAGUGUCCCUUUUUAAAGCUGUGUGAGGCUUGCAAUUGUUAUUAAAAAUUCAGAUCUACAUAUGCUUUCUGAUCUGUAUGGAUCCAAUAAUUCCACAUGGUCCUCAAAACUUAUGCAAACUCUUGUUACCUCCAAGUUUUUCAAGUAAAUUUUAAAUGCCACCAACCUAUCCAGAUUUAUUUGGAAAAUAUUUUUAAAAUAAUAUAAAUAUAUUUAAUUUAUCAUUAAUGGAGUCCAACAACCUUGCUGGCUAGUUGAAAUUUAAUUUCAUUAUGGUGAUAAAACAUUGCACGUGCAGAAUAAAAUCUUCUGGUUUAGUCGCCAAAUGAAGAUCAAAAAAUAUGAGCACAAGCAUUAAUUGAAGUUUUUGAGUCUGCAAAGUUACAGUAGUCAGAGCGUGAAGUAAAUUUAGAUUUGAAUUUUUUCAUAAAUAAACCAAUCAGGGCUAUUAAAGGGAUACCGUCAUUUGCAAUUUAAAGAUGUACAAACAUUUUAGGAUUUGAAUCAGGAUUUACUGCAUGUGGACAGUUACAAGCAUUCAUGCUGUUGGUGUAUCUGUGUUGGAAACUGUAUUCUACAGCAACGUACAUUCCAUUUGUUGGAAAAUUACCCAAGGGAAUUAUUGUUCAAAAAACUGUAAACCUAUGCACAUCUCUUGCAUUGUGGGCAAGUUUAUAAAUGACUGAUUUUUAAUCAUGUAGUGAAAUGUGUUUGUACUUUGUUGCAAUUUAAUUUGUUCUAAGGGGAAGAAUUAAGAGUUUUGCCAUUUCAAAUGUGUGUUGUCUUUGAAUAUAAAUAUUUUAAUUA